This 253-nucleotide ribosomal RNA is filed under the name uncultured bacterium. Its description in RNAcentral is "partial 16S ribosomal RNA". It matches the Rfam family "Bacterial small subunit ribosomal RNA", at positions 524 to 776 of the family's 1533-position model. The record is from RNAcentral.
GACGAACCGUGCGAACGUUAUUCGGAAUCACUGGGCUUAAAGGGUGCGUAGGCGGGCUCGUUAGUCAGGGGUGAAAUCCCACGGCCCAACCGUGGAAGUGCCUCUGAUACUGCGGGCCUCGAGGGGGAUAGGGGCGUGCGGAACUCAGGGUGGAGCGGUGAAAUGCGUAGAUAUCCUGAGGAACACCGGUGGCGAAAGCGGCGCGCUGGAUCCCUUCUGACGCUGAGGCACGAAAGCCAGGGGAGCAAACGGG